Molecule: long non-coding RNA, 1272 nt
Organism: Oncorhynchus tshawytscha (Chinook salmon)
Lineage: Eukaryota; Metazoa; Chordata; Actinopteri; Salmoniformes; Salmonidae
Source: Ensembl
UUAAAACGGCUUCAGUUUUAUUUAAGUAUUGGUUGGUAAAUGUAAUACAUCUUUUAUUAGUAACAUAGAAUCAUCAUUAGUGGCUUUUAAUAACACAAGGCUGUAACAGUGCGUCUGUCUCAGAGACACUAAUCAAUACAGUUUAACAUAGAAAACAUGUCUGGGUACCUAUACCAACGACUUAUAUAAACCCUGGAUUGCCAGAUCGCUAUGAAGCCGCCGGUCGGCCAUUUUGGAACUCCCCAGGCGGAGCAGUCCUCCAUAGGAAUUAAUAGAAUUCUACAGAAUUUCAAUUGGAUGUUUCUAGGAAGGAAAUGACAUGUGUAUAAGUAUGUUUCUGUUGUUGUAGUGGGGAGAGUAACAUAACAUGUUUUGAUGUACGCAGAGUAAACAAACCAAACACCUGCUCUUUCCAUAACAGACUGAAUCCAGCCAAUUUGACACAACUAUGGAAAGCAUUGGAGUAAAACAUGGGCCAGCAUCCCUGUGGAACGCUUUCCACACCUUGUAGAGUCCCUGUGGAACGCUUUCCACACCUUGUAGAGUCCCUGACACAACGAACUGAGGCUGUUCUGAGGACGGACGGACGACUGCAACUCCAUAUCAGGAAGCUGUUCCUAAUGUUUCAUUUAUCAGUGUAGUUUUUUUUUUUUUUACAUGUUUAUGUUAAUCUGUAAUAGAAUAAACCAGUGUAGACCUUAAUACAUGCAUUUAUAUAGUAUUAUAUAUAUAUAUAUAUAUAUAUUACAACGGUGAGGCAGCACCAAGAGAUAGACACAGUGGCCUCAACACAGCGGUCCCCAACCCUGUCAUAUAAGUCAUUGGUACAUACACCAGGCCUUUGGAUUGGACGAACCAAUAACGGAACCUGACACACACACAUGCAGACAAAGGCAAACUCCCACAACCCCCUCCACCUGCAAAAAAACAAAAAACAAAACACAUUUAAUUUCCUUUUAAAUCUACGUCCCUUUAUGUUAGGCACGGUGGCACACACACACAGAGAUGCACAAACAUGCUAGGGACUACAGAAUGACCACUGUGCAUUGACUGACUUGUCUGAUUAUUCAAAUCUGCAUACUCUAUUUCCACACACACACACACACACACACACACACACACACACACACACACACACACACACACACACACACACACGGAGUGGCAUGUGGAAGACGGGCUUUCCUUGGUGAGCAGUAAAAUAUAACAGUGAGUUGAGGGUAAAGGCUAGCGCCGAUAUGGAGCCAAGGCUAAGACUGUUAUCCCCUUCCC